AAUUCUCAAACCACACUUGUUGUGGCUUGGAUAGUUGGGUGUUGCCUGCUUUUUAUAACAAGUAGGCUCUCCUUAAACAUAUAAGUGGUAUUUUUAGAAACUUGUUAGGUGUUGUAAAUUAUUAAUACAUCUAUUGUUUCUGAAUAAUACUGCUUCUAACCAAACCCUUUCUUUGAUGA
RNAcentral lists this unclassified non-coding RNA (179 nucleotides) under uncultured Inocybe. RNAcentral's name for it is "sequence contains ITS2". Lineage: Eukaryota; Fungi; Basidiomycota; Agaricomycetes; Agaricales; Cortinariaceae. The record is from RNAcentral.